RNAcentral lists this long non-coding RNA (2201 nucleotides) under Brassica napus (rape). Its description in RNAcentral is "long non-coding RNA (BNAP_LNC000095)". Lineage: Eukaryota; Viridiplantae; Streptophyta; Magnoliopsida; Brassicales; Brassicaceae. The record is from RNAcentral.
AUCGUGUUGUUCGGAAAGCUCAUACUACCCGAGGAGCAGAAAGGGUCAGAGAAGACGCAGCUUUCAUCAGGCGGAUCGAACCAGAACUGUGUUGUGGGUUCUUCAUCAGAAGAAGGAUCACCUUGCUCCAAAAAAGCUCAUGAUGGAUUGGGUUUGGAGACGGGGCAUUGUAAAGUGUUUAUGGAGUCGGACGAUGUUGGUCGGACGUUAGACCUGUCGGUUCUUGGCUCGUACGAAGAGUUGGGUAUGAAGCUCUCUGACAUGUUUGGUAUUCAAAAGUCUGAGAUGUUGAGCUCUGUUCUCUAUAGGGAUGCAUCAGGAGCAGUCAAGUACCCAGGAAACGAACCUUUCAGGUAAAAACAAGAAGCAGAGUUUUGUAUAUAAAUGUCCUAAUCUGUGGAGAUUGAGUUAAGCAUCUGAUUAGUAAAUAAAUGUUUGCAGUGAGUUCUUGAAGACAGCUCGGAGAUUGACGAUUCUGUCUGAGCAAGGAAGCGAGAGCGUUGUGGUAUAAGAAUGAAUCAGUGUGUUUUCUUGGAGCUUGGAAGUCAAAGCUUGAAGUUUCUGUUUAUUUUUCUUUGUUUAAAAAUAUUUAUUUUGGUUCCAUUAUUUUGGUUUAUGUAAUUUACGAAAUAUACAGUCAUUCUAUUUGCAAAUAAAAUAGAUUCAUCUUUUCUUGAUAUGAUGUCACUUUAUUUACAAAAUCUAAAGCUAAUGAUUAUAGCUUGGUAAAACUAAAACCUAGAGACUCAAGCUAAUCUUUGUAUUGCUUUUCUUUUUGAUUCCCUUGUCUACCUUUGGAUUGCAAGAUCUGGUGAACCUUGGUUUAAUAUAGUUGAAUAGUUAGAUUGCUGAUUGUAGUUGAUACUUGUAUAUGCAUUUAACUUGUAAGUUGGAAGUAGUGUACAAAGAAGAUAAUCAAUAUAAGAGAUUAUUUUGAAGCUCUCUUGUUUCUCUCAUCUUCUUCCUCUUGUAGAUUCGUUUUACAUAGGAGCCUCAUAUAGUAUCUUACUGAAGUAAACGUUGGUUGCAUGGCUUAGUCUACAGGUUCAUGUGUUCAGGUAACCCCUUCCGCAAGUUGCCUUAUUUUCAAAAAUUAGAUAAAUUGCUUAAAAUAUUAUUAAAAAUACAUUCAUCAAAAAUCUAUUAAUAUUUGGGUUUAAGGUUUGGUGAGUAUUGUUUAGAGUUUAAUAUCUAAGGGGUGGGACUGGGUUUAUAAAUUUCUAUAAAUAAUUUUUAAACAUUUUUAAAUGAUUUAGAAUGGUUAGUUUAGUUUUUUUUAUCACAAAUUCAAGGUAUUUAUGAAAAUUUUCAUCCUUUAAAGUUAAAUUUGAAAAAUGAUAUUAAAUUUAAAGUUAAAUUAGAAUUUCCCUGUAUUCUUUACUUGUAAUCCAAGAAAGGCUCAAGGUUGCAUUUUGUGUGUUUCAGGUGGCGUGGGAUGAGCCGGAUCUACUCCAAAACGUGAAGCGGGUUAACCCGUGGUUGGUCGAGUUGGUAUCCAACGUACAUCCGAUAAUCCCUUCGUUUUCGCCACCUAGGAAAAAGAUGAGGCUACCUCAGCAUCCGGAUUACAACACUCGGAUCUCAGUACCUUCAUUCGCAAGCAACCCUCUUAUCAGAUCUGUUCUGGACAAUGUUCCCGUGGGUUUACAGGGAGCCAGGCAUAAUGCUCAUCAGUACUACGGGCUAUCAUCUUCUGAUCUCCACCAUUACUACUUAAACCGACCUCAUCCUCCUCCAUCAUCAACUCUCUCUGUUCCUCCACCUCUAGGGUUUCGAAACAUCGAUAGCAAAAACGAGAAAGGGUUCUGUUUCUUGACCAUGGGGACAUCACCGUGUAAUGAUACAGAAUCUAAGAAGUCACACAUCGUGUUGUUCGGAAAGCUCAUACUACCCGAGGAGCAGAAAGGGUCAGAGAAGACGCAGCUUUCAUCAGGCGGAUCGAACCAGAACUGUGUUGUGGGUUCUUCAUCAGAAGAAGGAUCACCUUGCUCCAAAAAAGCUCAUGAUGGAUUGGGUUUGGAGACGGGGCAUUGUAAAGUGUUUAUGGAGUCGGACGAUGUUGGUCGGACGUUAGACCUGUCGGUUCUUGGCUCGUACGAAGAGUUGGGUAUGAAGCUCUCUGACAUGUUUGGUAUUCAAAAGUCUGAGAUGUUGAGCUCUGUUCUCUAUAGGGAUGCAUCAGGAGCAGUCAAGUACCCAGG